AACGAACGCUGGCGGCAUGCCUAACACAUGCAAGUCGAACGAGACCUUCGGGUCUAGUGGCGCACGGGUGCGUAACGCGUGGGAACCUGCCCUCAGGUUCGGAAUAACUCCCCGAAAGGGGUGCUAAUACCGGAUAAUGUCUUCGGACCAAAGAUUUAUCGCCUUUGGAUGGGCCCGCGUUGGAUUAGCUAGUUGGUAGGGUAAAAGCCUACCAAGGCGACGAUCCAUAGCUGGUCUGAGAGGAUGAUCAGCCACACUGGGACUGAGACACGGCCCAGACUCCUACGGGAGGCAGCAGUGGGGAAUAUUGGACAAGGGGCGAAAGCCUGAUCCAGCAAUGCCGCGUGAGUGAUGAAGGCCUUAGGGUUGUAAAGCUCUUUUACCCGGGAUGAUAAUGACAGUACCGGGAGAAUAAGCUCCGGCUAACUCCGUG
Molecule: ribosomal RNA, 433 nt
Filed under: uncultured bacterium
Lineage: Bacteria
Description: partial 16S ribosomal RNA
Rfam family: Bacterial small subunit ribosomal RNA
Source: RNAcentral